Molecule: ribosomal RNA, 465 nt
Filed under: uncultured bacterium
Lineage: Bacteria
Description: partial 16S ribosomal RNA
Rfam family: Bacterial small subunit ribosomal RNA
Source: RNAcentral
GACGAACGCUGGCGGCGUGCUUAACACAUGCAAGUCGAACGGAAAGGCCCCCUUGUGGGGUACUCGAGUGGCGAACGGGUGAGUAACACGUGAGUAACCUACCCUUGACUUUGGGAUAACUUCAGGAAACUGGGGCUAAUACCGGAUAGGAGCUCCUGCUGCAUGGUGGGGGUUGGAAAGUUUCGGCGGUUGGGGAUGGACUCGCGGCUUAUCAGCUUGUUGGUGGGGUAGUGGCUCACCAAGGCUUUGACGGGUAGCCGGCCUGAGAGGGUGACCGGCCACAUUGGGACUGAGAUACGGCCCAGACUCCUACGGGAGGCAGAAGUGGGGAAUAUUGCACAAUGGGCGGAAGCCUGAUGCAGCAACGCCGCGUGCAGGAUGACGGCCUUCGGGUUGUAAACCGCUUUCGCCUGUGACGAAGCGUGAGUGACGGUAAUGGGUAAAGAAGCACCGGCUAACUACGUG